Molecule: ribosomal RNA, 487 nt
Filed under: uncultured bacterium
Lineage: Bacteria
Description: partial 16S ribosomal RNA
Rfam family: Bacterial small subunit ribosomal RNA
Source: RNAcentral
GAUGAACGCUAGCGAUAGGCUUAACACAUGCAAGUCGAGGGGCAGCACAAGGUAGCUUGCUAUCUGGGUGGCGACCGGCGCACGGGUGCGUAACGCGUAUGCAACUUGCCCUAUACAGGAGGAUAACCCGUCGAAAGACGGACUAAUACUCCGUAUGCUCACAACUUGGCAUCAAGUGGUGAGGAAAGAAAUUCGGUAUAGGAUAGGCAUGCGUCCCAUUAGCUUGUUGGUGAGGUAACGGCUCACCAAGGCAACGAUGGGUAGGGGAACUGAGAGGUUUAUCCCCCACACUGGGACUGAGACACGGACCAGACUCCUACGGGAGGCAGCAGUGAGGAAUAUUGCUCAAUGGGCGCGAGCCUGAACCAGCCAAGUCGCGUGAAGGAUGACUGUCUUAUGGAUUGUAAACUUCUUUUAUACGGGAAUAACAAGAGUCACGUGUGACUCCCUGCAUGUACCGUAUGAAUAAGCAUCGGCUAACUCCGUG